This 1364-nucleotide ribosomal RNA is filed under the name metagenome. Its description in RNAcentral is "bacterial LSU rRNA". It matches the Rfam family "Bacterial large subunit ribosomal RNA", at positions 1582 to 2925 of the family's 2925-position model. The record is from RNAcentral.
UUGGUGAAGUGGAUGAUCCUAUGCUGCCGAGAAAAGCCUCUAGUGAGUGUUGUGGCGGCCCGUACCCUAAACCGACUCAGGUGGUCAGGUAGAGAAUACCAAGGCGAUCGGGUGAACUGUGGUUAAGGAACUCGGCAAAUUGCCCCCGUAACUUCGGGAGAAGGGGGACCUCUGCUGGUGAUGGGCUUUACGUUCUGAGCUGGUGGGGGUCGCAGUGGCCAGGGGGAAGCGACUGUUUACUAAAAACACAGGUCCGUGCGAAGUCGUAAGACGAUGUAUACGGACUGACGCCUGCCCGGUGCCGGAACGUUAAGGGGACCGCUUAGCCAACGCGAGUUGGCGAAGGUGAGAACUUAAGCGCCGGUAAACGGCGGUGGUAACUAUAACCAUCCUAAGGUAGCGAAAUUCCUUGUCGGGUAAGUUCCGACCUGCACGAAUGGCGUAACGACUUCCCCGCUGUCUCAACCACAGACCCGGCGAAAUUGCACUACGAGUAAAGAUGCUCGUUUCGCGCAGCAUGACGGAAAGACCCCGGGACCUUCACUACAGCUUGACAUUGGCGUUUGGAACGUCUUGUGUAGGAUAGGUGGGAGACUGGGAAGCUGUCACGCUAGUGAUGGUGGAGUCGUUGGUGAAAUACCACUCUGGUCGUUUUGAACGUCUAACUCUGGUCCGUGAUCCGGAUCGGGGACAGUGUCUGGUGGGUAGUUUAACUGGGGCGGUUGCCUCCUAAAGAGUAACGGAGGCGCCCAAAGGUUCCCUCAGCCUGGUUGGCAAUCAGGUGUUGAGUGUAAGUGCACAAGGGAGCUUGACUGUGAGACUGACAGGUCGAGCAGGAGCGAAAGCUGGGACUAGUGAUCCGGCAUCGGCGUGUGGAAGCGGUGUCGCUCAACGGCUAAAAGGUACCCCGGGGAUAACAGGCUGAUCUUCCCCAAGAGUCCAUAUCGACGGGAUGGUUUGGCACCUCGAUGUCGGCUCGUCGCAUCCUGGGGCUGGAGUAGUCCCAAGGGUUGGGCUGUUCGCCCAUUAAAGCGGUACGCGAGCUGGGUUUAGAACGUCGCGAGACAGUUCGGUCCCUAUCCGCUGCGCGCGCAGGAGACUUGAAGGGGGCUGUCCCUAGUACGAGAGGACCGGGACGGACGAACCUCUGGUGUGCCAGUUGUACCGCCAGGUGCACGGCUGGUUGGCUACGUUCGGAAGGAAUAACCGCUGAAAGCAUCUAAGCGGGAAGCUCGCCUUGAGAUGAGGUCUCCCACCCCGUGAGGGGGUAAGGCUCCCGGUAGAUCACCGGGUUGAUAGGCCGGAGGUGGAAGCACGGUAACGUGUGGAGCUGACCGGUACUAAUAGGCCGAGGACUUGACCAC